Molecule: non-coding RNA, 429 nt
Organism: Oreochromis aureus
Lineage: Eukaryota; Metazoa; Chordata; Actinopteri; Cichliformes; Cichlidae
Source: the annotation of a RefSeq genome assembly
AUGAGAGGAAAUAAUGUAAAGAGCUAUGACCAGGGCGAUCCCCACUAUCAGGAGAUGAGCGCAGACGAAGCCGGUGGUGUAAAUGGCACAGGAUUUCCGAGUCAUGUGGGUGUGGUGAGGCCCACCCUCACUGUCCUCCCUCCAUUCAAAGAGGAAGAGAAGCAGUGCAGUGCCACUCUGGUCUGUUUGGCCACCGGGGGCUUCCCCUCAAACUGGAAGCUGGGCUGGAAGGUGGGGAGCACCAGCACAUCCUCAGGUGUGUCAAGCAGCCUGGAAGCCUUGGGGACAGACGGUCGCUACAGCUGCAGCAGCACCCUGAGCCUCUCUGCAGACCAGUGGAGGAAGGCGGGCUCAGUGAGCUGUGAAGCCAGUCUGAGUGGACAGAGCCCCGUCACUCAAACCCUGGACCCUGACCACUGCUCAGAGUAG